RNAcentral lists this long non-coding RNA (302 nucleotides) under Dasypus novemcinctus (nine-banded armadillo). RNAcentral describes it as "lncRNA (ENSDNOG00000052640.1)". Lineage: Eukaryota; Metazoa; Chordata; Mammalia; Cingulata; Dasypodidae. The record is from RNAcentral.
CACCAGCCACGGGCAGGACCAAUCAAAUCUGCUUAGUACCCGGAAGCGGGGCAGAAACGGACGCGGAAAGAGCAAACCGUCUCCGUGCGGACCGCGUACCCACCUGCAGUCCCGGGGCUGCUGCGCGAGGCCUUGGCGGCCGGGCAGAUACCCGAGGAAAUUCAACUGUCCUCGCAACGAAACGCGCGCGAAGCACGCAACACAAGGUGGAACACACCCGUGGAUUUCUCCACAGCCGGGACACCUGCGCCGCAGGUAGGUACACCUCCACCUGAAUUAGGAAUAGUAGUUGCAAGCCGAAU